UUAGAUUUUUACAUUCAUUCAUAGUGCAGAACUGGCUAAUUAAUGCUCUAGGUUAAAGGUUAUAAUUCUAAACUGAAGAAUACAUGCAGAAAUGAAUGACUACCUAAAUAUCAUUGUUUUUAGGUGAAUUCUUUUUCAGAUCCCUAGCGAUGGGUAUGAACAUUUAGCUGUAUGCAAGUGCUUCCGAAAACAGAGAUGGGAUCUUGCUCUGUCACCCAGGCUGGAGAGCAGUUGCUCAAAUCACUGCAACUGAACCGAGACUUCAACUGUUGGGUUCAAAUGAUCCUCCCCACUCAGCCUCUUGAAUAGCUGGGACAACAGAUGAGAAAGAAGGGAAGGAACUUAUGCAAAGAGUCUCAUGUGGCUGAACAGGAGUCCAAGGAAGCCAUGGAGUUACUGCAAGAUAAAAAUAUAUUUGGCCCAUUCCUCCAAAAACUAAGCAAUAUUCCCAUCUGGAGAGAGAAAGAAGAUCUCACCUAUUGAAAGCAAAUUAUCUUCCUCAAGUCACUUCCUGAAUAUACUGUAGGAAGUUUACUUUCAAAGUUCUCUUCCCUGGAGCAAAUCAGAUUAUUUACAUGUAUUUGCCUGCUCUGAAGAAAAAACACUUGAACACCAGAAGAAAGAAAAUCUGUACUUGCUCAAAGUCAAAAUACCAAAGAAUAAAGAAAGAGGUCUCCUUAGGAGAAAUGAAAAGUUUUGUUCUUCUUGGAAGAAGUCUUCAAAGAUUUUAGAGCAAAAUAUAUACAGGUAUGAGUAUUGGUAUGGACACUAGAAGAUUAAAAAAAGACCUCAAAAAAUAAACAUGUUUUGGCUUUAGUCCCUCAGAGUAAUUAACAUGUUGCUGUAGCUGACAAAAUUUGUGGCCAGAUAGAAACCUGCUAGUUGAAAAAUUUGGAAUCCUGUAGCCUCCCAUCUCUGCCUAAGAUCAAGGCCAAACAUCUGCUCUCCUCCCACUUCCUGAGCCCUCAGCCUGUUUAGAGGAGUCGGGUCAGUUGUCUUGCAGAGAGGGUGCAAAGGUAAGUGGCAGAGGGGCCAAAGCCCAGUGCCAGGCUCAGCUUUCAUAAUGUGCCCUGUGAUGGAUGCUCAGAGUUCAGAACACCCAGCUGGCCAGAGAGAGGCUUUUGGAAACAACAGAGGAUUGACGUUCUUCAGUACUCAUUUUCCAGCAAAGACAAAUAUCUGAUUAUAUAAUAGAGAAGUUAUGUCUUCUGGCACCCAAAGAACUGACCUACAAUGACAAAUGUGCAACUUAUUAAGCAAAUUCCAUUGAGCCUGCAACACAUACUAGUUGUUUUCUCAAGACACGUAGUUGCUUUACCACCAAGAACCCUUUCCUCAAUGGUUCCAGCUGGCAAAACUCACUGUCAUUUCGAUCUAUUGCUUUGUAAUCACACAAACCUUCUCCGUGGGUUUUUCAAAAUUAAACUAAGUUGAUCUGCUCUGAUUUCCCUUUGCUGCCACGAUUCUAGAGACCAUAGAUAAUUGUUUAAGCCCAAAUCCAUAAGGCGAGUUUCUGUUGGAGAAAAACCAGGGAAAGAGUCCUUCCGUGAUGUAUCUUGUAUAUGCUGGCUCCUCUGGGGUGGGUGCAACCUUGUUUGCUUAAUCAGGAUGCACACCCUAAGCAGAGAUGCCUGGUUUUGAUUUAAAUGGGUACAAAAUAUGUUCCCUUUGUUCUGGAGCUCUUACUAAAGCUAGUACAGAAACCUCGGCUCUAUAUGUUAUUGGGGUUUCUCAUUUUCCCACAAAGCACAUGGGAUGGGUGGUCAUGGCAAUGGUGAGCAGGAUCAUUGCGGCGCAUUAAGUUAACUGGCACAAAUCAUUUGUUUGCUGAGGAGGAACAGAAUCAUAUGUGGCAAUACCUUCCCAGGGAGUGUUGCCUCACUGUCAUCACAGACUGAGCUUUGGAGAGACGUAGGAAAGGAUAGCAGUGGCUGACUCCUCUAUGUGUUUUACUUACAUAUAGGUGCAGCAGAGAGAAUAAUCAAUAUCUAUGGUGACAAUUCAUAAGCAAGUCCACAUUUAAAACAUUAAUAUAUAAAAAGCCCCUUUCCCAGCUCUGGUCCCAGUUGCCUAAUUCUCCACCCUUGAAGCAGAGUUUGUUACUCAAAACCUAUUUACAUGAGUAUAAAUAAAUAUCCUUAUUUUAUAUGAGUGGUAGCAUAAUAUACCUACUGUUCUGUACCUCGCUUAUAUCAAA
This is a long non-coding RNA of Gorilla gorilla gorilla (western lowland gorilla), 2197 nucleotides long. RefSeq lists it as uncharacterized. NCBI's taxonomy places the organism in Eukaryota, Metazoa, Chordata, Mammalia, Primates, Hominidae. The transcript is spliced from 4 exons. The record is from RefSeq and is a predicted model, not a curated record.